CUUCCAGGCAAACCACGCAAAAUAUCCGCGAUGGCGUGUCGAACCGUGCGGCGCUCCUCCGUCCUCCUCUCGGAGCCAUGGCCAUGGCGCCCCCCCUCCCUCCACCGACCUCCUCCUCUCCUUCUCCGACCAUCUAGGGCUACGGUUUUCCACGGAGCUUCCCUUCUUCGGUGCUCCCAUAGCGAGGCGCCGUCGCCCACCUCUUCCUCUUCUUCUUCCUCUCCUCAGGAUGACCAGGGUCCGCCCCAGGAGGCCGUCCUCAAGGCCAUCUCCGAAGUAUCAAAGUCUGAAGGAAGGGUUGCACAAACCACAAAUAUUGUCAUUGGUGGUACAGUGACAGAUGAUGCUAGCAAUGAAUGGCUUGUUCUAGAUCAGAAGGUAAACUCAUAUCCCAUGACAAGAGGGUUCACUGCAAUAGGAACCGGAGGUGAUGAUUUUGUCCAAGCAAUGGUUGUUGCUGUUGAAUCUGUACUUCAGCAACCAAUUCCAAAGGGUCGUGUGACUCAGAAACUGUCUUCAAGGGGCAAGUAUGUAUCCGUAAACAUUGGACCUAUUCGUGUUGUCUCCAGUGAGCAGGUCCAAGCUGUAUAUAAUGCCAUGAGGAGGGAUGACAGAAUGAAGUAUUUUUUGUAGACUGCAUUGACAUGUUUAUCCAUAAAAUAGUCCCCAUGCUUUGGCGUCCUAGGAUUGCUGUAGCUCCAUUUUAGCUUUAGUAAUCUACAGCAAUCUGUCAUGUGGGCAACCAGGUCUCAGGUUUGAGUUGGAAGCUAUAGCUCGUGCUCUUUUUACUUUGUUUCUUAUCCGAAGAAUCAAGAAGGUGAUAUGUAUUAAAAUCCAUUCAAUGGUGAUUCUAGAUAACUUAAACCUAUAGAUUAAUAUUUAUUUAAAAUGAAGAGACUAUGUUUAGUUGUUGUAACAAUAAUGGCAGAUAAAUUUUUUUUUCAAUUAUUAGUUAAUACUGCUGAUUCUAAGAGAAAUUAAUUGUGGUCAGACUGCUGUAUUUUUUUGCCAUGGCAUGUUGACUGAAAGAAUCUAGGGUGUAAUUGGUGUGUGAAUCUAUCUUGUCAGACGAA
Elaeis guineensis (African oil palm) is the source of this 1073-nucleotide RNA transcript. RefSeq lists it as uncharacterized. Lineage: Eukaryota; Viridiplantae; Streptophyta; Magnoliopsida; Arecales; Arecaceae. The record is from RefSeq and is a predicted model, not a curated record.